UUUUUUUUUUUUUUUUUUUUUUUUUUUUGGUGAUUAUUUAAACCUCAGUACGAUGUGGUUAGGAUCCUCAGAUAACAGUCAGGCUUUGCAGUAAUCGAGAAGAGAGAGCAGUGUGAUGUGGCCCCGACUCUCAUCCAGGAUCAUCUGUGAGAACCCCUGAAGAGGACGCAAAGGAAGGACACCACGUUUUGUGAGCAAACGAAUGUGGAGACAGGACGCCAAAAGUGAACUCUGCUCACGCUGAUGGAAACAAUGGAAUAAAAUUGGAAAAGCAGCAUGGACGUGGAAUAAAGGAUAUCUCAGAGGCAGGCCAAGGGCUUUGGAUGUUCUGCCAACUCUGAAAUCUGCCUCCUGUGGAUGUGGUGCUGAUAAUGCUCUAACCCAAUGCUCAGCAGAGGUACGUACACGCAUCAAUACGUGCUAGGAAACUGCAGGGAUUUUACACCAGGCAUAUCGUCUCGUCCUGUAACAGCGACUGCUGGGUUUCUCUCAGGCGCGUGUAAUUUUAUAGCAGGGACCGACCGACCGACCAAUCAAAAACGUCCUUAUUUUAUUUCACUAAAACUUAAACGUUAUCAUCACGGCAGGCUGAAGAGAGGUAUUGUAACGCGAGCUUCUCCGGGCUUUGCUACAUUUCUCAUACAUUUCUCACGUCUAUCCAACCAUCAUGCUUAUUAAUACACCGCCUUUUGAUCCUGAAUACACCGCUUCACCUUUCAGUCAGGGUUUCCGGUUUCGAUCCAGCGUGACGUCGUAGGUCACCGAAGCCUCACGAUUUUCCAGUCGAACUUUUUCCCCUCCCAGACGUGUUAAAAACGAUUCGCAGUUUGAACAGCGUGACAUUUAAUACCACCCUUGAAAAUCAUGACAAAUAUACACGUGACAUUAUCAUUGCCAGAUUUGUCCCUGCAGAGCGGAGGAGUUCAUGACGCCAAGUGGCGUCUUGCUGUCGUUAGUUUUAAUGACGUGACACGUAUCGACACGCAUAUUUAACACCUGACUUUUCUUUUUGUCUUUUUUUUUUCCUUUCUUUCUUUUUUUUUUUUUUAGUUUUUAAAAUCCGUGCUAUUUUUCUCCGUUUGGAAGUUGACGUGUGCCUGCAUGCCGUUUGAGCUAUUUAAUUAGAAUGCAACGUCAUCACUGUUGUACAGAACUAGUCCAUCGGCGUAAAAGUAAUCUGACGUGAUCUGACGUUUCGAGUGGAGCGCGGUUUUAUCUGUCGACAUCUGGACACGUGUUUCUCGCUAUAGUGGAACUAACGAUGCAAAAGCAACGCGCGUAGAAAUCCGGUAAUGUUAUUAGGUUCUGAAAACGGUCGCAUACUUUGGAGCGGCGACAGAGGCCGAUGCUAAAUAAAGCAACGUGAAGAAAGGUCAUAGCUGACCGCUUUUCUCCGGUGCGGACGUGCAUAUUAAACACCCCGUAAUGAGCGGCGAUUACGAGAUCCUCACUUUGUUAACGCUGCAGAAAUAGAGGCUUCACAGAUGUGCCAUGCGAUUUCAGCAUAUUCGUGUAAUGUUAAACACAUGCCGUUUCUUUCCCAGGCCGGCUUUCGAAAUCAAAAUCGCUGCUUUUUUUAACGCUCGCAAUUACCGCCCGUGGUCCCGACUGGGAAACGUGCUCGAGCAGACGCUUUUGUUAAGUCUCGCGAGUUGUGCGAGGGAUCCUGAGAGGGAGU
Ictalurus punctatus (channel catfish) is the source of this 1678-nucleotide long non-coding RNA. The record is from Ensembl. NCBI's taxonomy places the organism in Eukaryota, Metazoa, Chordata, Actinopteri, Siluriformes, Ictaluridae.